AAUCAUUGGUUAUUAAAGAUCAUUCUCCCUCAGGGAAUCUCUGUUUCGAUCAUCAUCUGAGCUACUCGAUCUGCUCCAUCGACUUCUUCUGAUCUCUGUUAAUCUUCUGCUACAGAUCACAACUUCAGUUGCUCAAACUCAAUCACCGAUCACAGUAUUGUUUAUUUUAUCAUACUACGUAUAUAUUAUCUUGCAUCAUAACUUAAAUAUCCAUUAUAUCUCAUAUCUGCUUCAGAUUAGUUCUAGUUAAGCAGGUGUUUCUUAUAUAGCUUAUAUACAUCAAUAACAUUAAUCACUAUCAUUUUCACAUAAUUAACCUUUAGUUGUAUCACCUGCACUCUCUGUUAUUAUCCGCUGCAACAUAUAUAUAAUCCAACCAUUUAUUGUCAAUAUAUAAAUAUCUUUGUAAUCAUAUUUAUAUCAAAACUUAACAAUUAUCUUAUUAUUAUUUCGGCUAUUGUGUCUGUGUCUCUAAACAGGUGGACACGGUCGUCUUGGUUGAUUUUGAAUAAAAUUAAUUGAUGGUGUGUGGGCUCGCGUUAAAGUGCUCACACACACAACUCUCUAGUUUUACUAUCUCUUUAAUUAUCGACCCUCUCCCUUAUU
This 606-nucleotide long non-coding RNA is filed under the name Zostera marina. Its description in RNAcentral is "long non-coding RNA (ZMAR_LNC001780)". The record is from RNAcentral. Lineage: Eukaryota; Viridiplantae; Streptophyta; Magnoliopsida; Alismatales; Zosteraceae.